Molecule: long non-coding RNA, 569 nt
Filed under: Homo sapiens (human)
Lineage: Eukaryota; Metazoa; Chordata; Mammalia; Primates; Hominidae
Description: non-protein coding lnc-FOXL1-2:1
Source: RNAcentral
GUGACACAGCUACCAGCCAAAGAGCACCAAGGUUGGCUGGAGCCCCCAGCAGCGGGACAGAGGCGCAGAACAUAUGACCACAGGAGCACCUGGAAAGGACCAAACCCAGCAACAGUUGAAUUUGGACUUUUAGCCUCCAGAACCAUGAGAAAGUAAGACUCUGCUGGACUGUGGCACGCACCCGGAACACCCAUCCAGCCGCCCUGAAGGAUGCAGGCCUCUCCGCCUUUGGUUCUCCUGUGCCUCUUCAGGUAUGAGGGGUUCCAGCACCAGGCUGGCCCUGGCAGCCGGGAGCCAGCCUUCUUCAGCUUGCUGCCUUUGCUGGGGAAGUGCCCACUCAGGACAGCUGAGGAGACGGAGCCACGGAGGUUGACAUAGGAGGUGAUGGAACAGCCAGUUUUCCUGCUGAGCCCAUCCGUAUAGACAGCCGGCAUGCAUUGAUGUGUCUCUCUCCCAGCUUCAACCCCUGUCUGCAGAGCUGGAGUCUCCGACUGUUCCCGCAUGUCCCUUCUCUGUUGUUACCUGCAGUCCAGACAAAAAUGGCAUAGUAAAAUAAAAGUUGAGAGAAU